UACGUAGGGUGCAAGCGUUGUUCGGAAUCAUUGGGCGUAAAGCGCGUGUAGGCGGUUUGUUAAGUCGGGUGUGAAAUCCCUGGGCUCAACCGAGGAAGUGCAUUCGAAACUAACUGGCUAGAAGACGGUAGAGGAAGGUGGAAUUCCAAGUGUAGAGGUGAAAUUCGUAGAUAUUUGGAGGAAUACCGGUGGCGAAGGCGGCCGUCUGGACAGUGACUGACGCUGAGACGCGAAAGCGUGGGGAGCAAACAGG
This 253-nucleotide ribosomal RNA is filed under the name uncultured bacterium. RNAcentral describes it as "partial 16S ribosomal RNA". It matches the Rfam family "Bacterial small subunit ribosomal RNA", at positions 524 to 776 of the family's 1533-position model. The record is from RNAcentral.